RNAcentral lists this ribosomal RNA (342 nucleotides) under Clostridioides difficile. RNAcentral describes it as "bacterial SSU rRNA". It matches the Rfam family "Bacterial small subunit ribosomal RNA", at positions 1 to 350 of the family's 1533-position model. The record is from RNAcentral. Lineage: Bacteria; Bacillati; Bacillota; Clostridia; Peptostreptococcales; Peptostreptococcaceae.
UUUUAUUUGAGAGUUUGAUCCUGGCUCAGGAUGAACGCUGGCGGCGUGCCUAACACAUGCAAGUUGAGCGAUUUACUUCGGUAAAGAGCGGCGGACGGGUGAGUAACGCGUGGGUAACCUACCCUGUACACACGGAUAACAUACCGAAAGGUAUGCUAAUACGGGAUAAUAUAUUUGAGAGGCAUCUCUUGAAUAUCAAAGGUGAGCCAGUACAGGAUGGACCCGCGUCUGAUUAGCUAGUUGGUAAGGUAACGGCUUACCAAGGCGACGAUCAGUAGCCGACCUGAGAGGGUGAUCGGCCACAUUGGAACUGAGACACGGUCCAAACUCCUACGGGAGGCA